This 56-nucleotide transfer RNA is filed under the name Candidatus Accumulibacter sp. BA-94. It matches the Rfam family "tRNA", at positions 1 to 53 of the family's 71-position model. From Rfam's summary of the family: Transfer RNA (tRNA) molecules are approximately 80 nucleotides in length. Their secondary structure includes four short double-helical elements and three loops (D, anti-codon, and T loops). Lineage: Bacteria; Pseudomonadati; Pseudomonadota; Betaproteobacteria. The record is from Rfam by way of RNAcentral.
CGGGGCGUAGCGCAGCCUGGUAGCGCAUCUGCUUUGGGAGCAGAGGGUCGUGAGUU